GAUGAACGCUGGCGGCGUGCCUAAUACAUGCAAGUCGAGCGAACGGACGAGAAGCUUGCUUCUCUGAUGUUAGCGGCGGACGGGUGAGUAACACGUGGAUAACCUACCUAUAAGACUGGGAUAACUUCGGGAAACCGGAGCUAAUACCGGAUAAUAUUUUGAACCGCAUGGUUCAAAAGUGAAAGACGGUCUUGCUGUCACUUAUAGAUGGAUCCGCGCUGCAUUAGCUAGUUGGUAAGGUAACGGCUUACCAAGGCUACGAUGCAUAGCCGACCUGAGAGGGUGAUCAGCCACACUGGAACUGAGACACGGUCCAGACUCCUACGGGAGGCAGCAGUAGGGAAUCUUCGGCAAUGGGCGAAAGCCUGACGGAGCAACGCCGCGUGAGUGAUGAAGGUCUUCGGAUCGUAAAACUCUGUUAUUAGGGAAGAACAUAUGUGUAAGUAACUGUGCACGUCUUGACGGUACCUAAUCAGAAAGCCACGGCUAACUACGUG
This 497-nucleotide ribosomal RNA is filed under the name uncultured bacterium. Its description in RNAcentral is "partial 16S ribosomal RNA". It matches the Rfam family "Bacterial small subunit ribosomal RNA", at positions 28 to 507 of the family's 1533-position model. The record is from RNAcentral.